RNAcentral lists this ribosomal RNA (466 nucleotides) under uncultured bacterium. RNAcentral's name for it is "SSU rRNA". It matches the Rfam family "Bacterial small subunit ribosomal RNA", at positions 26 to 518 of the family's 1533-position model. The record is from RNAcentral.
AGGACGAACGCUGGCGGCGUGCCUAAAGCAUGCAAGUCGAACGGCCUAGCAAUAGGCAGUGGCGAACGGCGGAGUAAUACAUAAACAACGUGCCCCGAAGACUGGGAUAUACGACAGAAAUGACGAGCAAUACCGGAUGUGACCUUUUUUGGCAUCAAGAGAAGAUUAAAUGGUUUUUCGCUUCAGGAGCGGUUUAUGGCCUAUCAGGUAGUUGGUGGGGUAAUGGCCUACCAAGCCGACGACGGGUAGCGGGUCUGAGAGGAUGAUCCGCUCGAGUGGGACUGAGACACGGCCCACACACCUACGGGUGGCAGCAGCUAGGAAUCUUGCACAAUGGGGGCAACCCUGAUGCAGCGACGCCGCGUGGAGGAUGAAGGGUCUAGGCUCGGUAAACUCCUUUUGACUAGGAAAGACUUAGGACGGUACCUGUCGAAUAAGGUCCGGCUAACUACGUGCCAGCAGCCGC